GUNGAGUAGCAUGGCAGACGGGUGAGGAGCGCGUAUCUGACUGGACUCAGGGUGGGGGAUAGGACGGCGAAAGGGGGUUGAAUACCGCAUGUGCUCGGUGCUGUGAGGGCAUCGAGGAAAGUUGGCCUCUGCGGGCACGCUGAUGGCCUGAGACAGGGAUGCGUCCUAUUAGCUAGCUGGUGGGGUAAGGGCCUACCAGGGCGACGAUGGGUAGCUGGUCUGAGAGGAUGAUCAGCCACACUGGGACUGCGACACGGCCCAGACUCCUACGGGAGGCAGCAGUGGGGAAUUUUGCGCAAUGGGCGCAAGCCUGACGCAGCAACGCCGCGUGCAUGACGACGCCUUUCGAGGUGUAAAGUGCUGUCGACCGGGACGAAGGGGCGAGGGUGAACAGCUUUCGCGCAUGACGGUACCGGUGGAGGAAGCCCCGGCUAACUCCGUGCCAGCAGCCGCGGUAAGACGGAGGGGGCGAGCGUUGUUCGGAAUUACUGGGCGUAAAGCGCGCGUAGGCGGUGCAGCAAGUGGUGCGUGAAAGCCCUCGGCUUAACCGGGGACGGGCGUGCCAAACUGUUGGACUGGAGUGCCGGAGGGGGAGGCCGGAAUUCCUGGUGGAGCGGUGAAAUGCGUAGAGAUCAGGA
RNAcentral lists this ribosomal RNA (638 nucleotides) under uncultured organism. RNAcentral's name for it is "bacterial SSU rRNA". It matches the Rfam family "Bacterial small subunit ribosomal RNA", at positions 85 to 702 of the family's 1533-position model. The record is from RNAcentral.